RNAcentral lists this ribosomal RNA (262 nucleotides) under uncultured Lactobacillales bacterium. RNAcentral's name for it is "partial 16S ribosomal RNA". It matches the Rfam family "Bacterial small subunit ribosomal RNA", at positions 94 to 339 of the family's 1533-position model. Lineage: Bacteria; Bacillati; Bacillota; Bacilli; Lactobacillales. The record is from RNAcentral.
AGCGGCGGACGGGUGAGUAACAACGUGGGCGAACCUGCCCUCGGAGCGGGGGAGGUAACAAUUUGGUAAACAAGAUGCUAAUAACCGCACUAAUAAUCAAAACCACAUGGUUUUGAUUUCAAAGAUGGCUUCGGCUAUCACUCCAGGAUGGGCCCGCGGUGCAUUAGCUAGUUGGUAAGGUAACGGCUUACCAAGGCGAUGAUGCAUAGCCGAGUUGAGAGAAUGAUCGGCCACAAUGGAACUGAGACACGGUCCAUACUCC